RNAcentral lists this ribosomal RNA (253 nucleotides) under uncultured bacterium. Its description in RNAcentral is "partial 16S ribosomal RNA". It matches the Rfam family "Bacterial small subunit ribosomal RNA", at positions 524 to 776 of the family's 1533-position model. The record is from RNAcentral.
UACGUAGGGUGCAAGCGUUAAUCGGAAUUACUGGGCGUAAAGCGUGCGCAGGCGGUUUUGUAAGUCUGUCGUGAAAGCCCCGGGCUCAACCUGGGAAUUGCGAUGGAGACUGCAAGGCUUGAAUCUGGCAGAGGGGGGUAGAAUGCCACGUGUAGCAGUGAAAUGCGUAGAGAUGUGGAGGAACACCGAUGGCGAAGGCAGCCCCCUGGGUCAAGAUUGACGCUCAUGCACGAAAGCGUGGGGAGCAAACAGG